Molecule: long non-coding RNA, 548 nt
Filed under: Podarcis muralis (Common wall lizard)
Lineage: Eukaryota; Metazoa; Chordata; Lepidosauria; Squamata; Lacertidae
Description: lncRNA (ENSPMRG00000021529.1)
Source: RNAcentral
UCCCGCGAGCCGUGUUUACAUUCUGCCGACAGGUCCACGUUGCCGAGCCAUUCGGCCUUCUGAUUGGCCGCGGCGCGCGGCGCGGCUCCGCCCAGAGGUGGAGCCCGACGUGGCGAGCUGUCUAAGCGCGCGUGUUGCUAAUGCCAGGCCGAGAGCCGCGGCCGGCGCAGGAGCCAUUCUGGUUGCACGGGCUCCCGGGAACGCAGCUGACACGGCUUUGCAGGGUUAACGAGCUGUUAACCGGCAACUAUCUGGAAUCCUAAUAAGAUGUCAAGGCGCAGUAGUCGUUUACAAGCCAAGCUGCACCAGCCCUGCCAGGAUACGUCUCCUCAAGAACUGCAGCUGCCAGAGUCUCUUCAGAACAGAAAAAGGAAAGCAAUGCAGGUAAGUAGGAAUUGAAACGGUCUCCUGGAGCCAGAUGUGGUUAAGAAUAUGAGCAGGAUUGCGUUGUUCAAGCUGAAACAAGAAUUCACGGCAUUGAUAUUGGUAAAACCACCUUCCUCUUGGCCUCAUCCUCACAUCUGAAAUGUAGAGAUAAUGGGUGGAAU